UUCUUUCUUACCUAUAAUUAUUUCACUAAUGUUUGUGGAUUCUUAAUUGAGGUCCGACUAAUAUGCUUUUUGAUGUAGAUGAUAUCUCCUUUAAAUUAGAACAGCUCUCAGGGAAAAAUUCUAGUGAUCACUUUUGGAGCAAACUAUGCGGGUGCCAUGCAAAGGGAGUAUUUUGUUUCUUCUCUGUCUUCAUUUUAUUUUCUUGUGCAGAAUGUGUUCAUAGAUAGUGAGGACACUGUUUGAAAUAAGUUUGGGGGUAUUGGAUCUUUAGAGUUUAAAUUGUCUUUUUCUAGUUUAUCAUUUCUCUUUUUUAUACACUUAAGGGCUAAGUUUUUCACCAUAAGUAGUUAAUAAAGCAUAACGGAAUUGAUAUUUUAUUUUGACUAAGAUUAUGGUUAUUUU
RNAcentral lists this long non-coding RNA (402 nucleotides) under Carica papaya (papaya). Its description in RNAcentral is "long non-coding RNA (CPAP_LNC002421)". The record is from RNAcentral. Lineage: Eukaryota; Viridiplantae; Streptophyta; Magnoliopsida; Brassicales; Caricaceae.